This is a long non-coding RNA of Antechinus flavipes (yellow-footed antechinus), 517 nucleotides long. RefSeq lists it as uncharacterized. Lineage: Eukaryota; Metazoa; Chordata; Mammalia; Dasyuromorphia; Dasyuridae. The transcript has 4 exons. The record is from RefSeq and is a predicted model, not a curated record.
GAAACCAGUAAGCAAGACCUGUAACUCAAGAGGCCACUCUCAAAGACAACAUAUACACAACGUCCCAUAUCUACUAACUUUGGAACCAGGCUUGGUACACUGAAAUUCCAGUUGAGCUUCAUCAAUGAGGGUCCUUUACUUUAUCUUCAUUUUUUGGCUCUUGGCAGCUGCAGGUUUCACUUCCCACUUCAGCUUCAAAUUGCAGCGAGUAACCACAAAGGACCCAAAUUCUAUCGUAUUAAAUUUUCAAGACAACGAGGACUUGUUAUGGAAAAUCUGGGGGAAUGACACUAUGCUGUGUUUCAAUAAGCAAGGCAACUGUUACCAAUAUUGUCCGGAAUGGGAAAAGAAGAUUGGAAGCUGUGCCGAAAGCAUGUUACAAUGUUGCUUGAAGACAGAAAAAAAAAAAAGAAAGAAGAAGCUAAAGGGAUAAAGGAGAUCAGAACUGUUUUUGUUCAUUAUUUUUUUUUAAAUGCUGAUUUUUAUAAAAAAUAAAAGGAAGACCAUUUGACCUCUG